This 2743-nucleotide long non-coding RNA is filed under the name Sorghum bicolor (sorghum). Its description in RNAcentral is "long non-coding RNA (SBIC_LNC001792)". The record is from RNAcentral. Lineage: Eukaryota; Viridiplantae; Streptophyta; Magnoliopsida; Poales; Poaceae.
CAGCAGGCUCAUGCACCGGCAACACGUACUGUACCAAUUUUUUUUUCCGUGAGAGCAUGCACGGAUGCACCACGCCGCAUGGUGAGAGUCACGAAGUUGCCGAAAUGAUUGGGUCUUGAAACAGGGAUCGUGAAACGUGGUACGCAAUUAGCUCUUUGAGAAAGAAUUUUUUUUUUUCUAUUAUCGAGAUGAAACUGAUCCAUAUUUCUGGAACGGAAAUGCACGCACAACAUGGCACUGUAUCACGUUUCAGGUGAUUGUGCGCGUGGUCACGUACGUAGCACGAACAAGGUUCCCAAUGCAAGGCAAGCGUGACCAUCCAGAAAACGAUACAAAGGCCAGGUAGGAGUAGGAAACGAGAUAGCAAGGGACGUGCUAGCUAGCCUAGCAGCAGUCGGAUGAAUGAAGCUCACAAAUGUGUGGACGUUGAUGUACGAUGUUACUCGUUUUUUUUGGUCAUUUGAGACAUAGAACCCAAAUUAAGAUCGUGUCUAACAUGAGUCCAAACGGCUUCAGCUUCUUGUUGCAAUGGGCAGAGGAGCUAGAGCCGGUGAAACCAAAGAAACUAGCAGAAUUUUCCGCGCGUUGUUGCGGGUACGAAGGAGGAAUAUAAAUAUGACCUCACUAUAGUCUAUCGAGUCAUCUAUAUAUAAUUUUAGUAGUCAGCUUCUGAACAGGAAGAGAGAUCAUGUAAGAGAAUAAUUGCUAGCAGUAUGCAUGCAUGGUCAUGUGUAUGUAGCUGCAUUCACUACUGAAACUAAUUGUGAGUGGGCAUUUAAUUGCAUGCGGCAGCCGGAGAAGUGGAUGAUGAUGUGGCGCAAGGAGGUGCAAGAGAAUUACCUUAGUGGGGUUUGUCUUUAUAGGAUAUAUAGAUAGUAGAUUCACAAACUAUUACUUCCUCCAUCCCAAACUAUAAGACAUUCUAAAAAUAUUAGAGAGUCAAAGCAUCUUAAGUUUGAUUAAACUUAUAGAAAAAAUUAUAAAAAAUUAUGACAUCAAAAAGAUAUACCAUGAAAAUAUAAUUAAUGAUUAACCUAAUGAUACUUAGUUUAUCAUAUAAAUUUGGUUAAACUUAAAAUAUUUUAACUCUCCAAAAUUCUUGAAUACCUUAUAAUUUAGGAUGGAAGGAGUAGUUCAUUUUAAAAAGAGAAAAAAAUAAUUUCUCCUUAGUUCUAAAUUUUUUUUUGGAAAAUCGACAUUGUUAUUUGACAAAUAUUGUCCAAUCAUGGACUAACUAGGCUCAAAACAUUCGUCUCGUCAAUUCCGUCUAAACUGUGUAAUUAGUUUUUAUUUUCGUAUAUAUUUAAUACUCCAUGCAUGCGUCUAAAGAUUCGAUGUGACGAAGAAUCUAAAAAAAUUUGCAAAAUUUUUUGGAAACUAAACAAGACCUUAUGCGCAGAGGAGCCAUGGCCUGAAGCCCUAACGAGGCCUUUAUACUCCUCUUUUAGCAAUGUUUGUUGCACUCUUAUCUCUUGCACAUUAAAGCGGUUUUUAAAGAUUAGUAAGGCAAUAUUAUAUCAGUAUUAAAUAUAAAUAUUUGUUAUACCACUAGUGAUAAAGUAGUACAUGGUAUAGGUAGUCCACUACAUUAUGAUAUACCAAUUCAAUGUCUUCCUAAAAAUAUUUUUGUCUUUUAUAAUACUACAAAGAAAAGUAGACCCAUAUGAGUUCAAUCCUCGAUUUGUGACAUAUAUGAUCUCACUUUGUUUCUAUCUAUUUCAAGAUCUAAAUGCAUUUUCAAUGAUAGACGACAUGCCUAUUGAUAGUAGUAUGUACCGUGAUUUGCUAAAAAAAAAGAAAAGAAAAACUCCAUUUAAUUAGAAAAGAAAAAAGAAAACUCCCAUUUGAAUUACUUCUGCAGUGUCCUCGCUCAAUUUCUCAACUAGGAACUCUACAGAACGGUCAACUACUCAUUUUUUAAAAUUACAUAGUACAAUAGAGAGCUCAUACAAAAAAAGGUACUCAUAUUAAUUAUACCUUGUUUUAUUUGGGCAACUUAUAAUUGCAUUCUUUCUUCUAAAUUGAAAGACAACUAAACAUUGUACUGGGUAAUAGUGGUAGUAAUUAAAUAUGAAUAGAAAUUUUGCAAUACAGAUACGUAUUAGACCAAAGUCAACUUUGACUAGUACAUUUUUAACAUAAUACUUUUAAAAUAUAACAAAAGUAUGCUUUUAUGAGUCUGCAAUUCAAGAUAAUCGAUUCCAUAUUGUUUUCAAAUUCCAAAUUCAACACAUAAAAUGCAAUGUGUAACAAAAAUUUGAAAUACUAGACUUAGGAAAACCCUUGUGAUGUCACCUAUAUUAUAUAUAUAUAUAUAUAUAUAUAUAUAUAUAUAUAUAUAUAUAUAUAUAUAUAUAUAUAUAUAUAUAUAUAUAUAUAUAUAUAUAUAUAUAUAUAUAUAUAUAUAUAUAUAUAUAUAUAUAUAUAUAUAUAUAUAUAUAUAUAGGGAAGUUUCUUUCUACAUGUACGUGUAGUUACUCUCAUCUUCAAUAAACUACAUUAUGUAUGUAUUCAUACUUGUUUAUCGGUUUGAGUAUGCUUAUAUACUCAUAUUAAGAUACUCUAAAUCUUACCACAUGAUUUUUUUUAAAAAAAUAUAUUUUAAAUAUAUUACUAAAAUGCCACUACUAUAUUAUAUACAAUAAGUAUAACCAUAUACUUUAUGUAUGUAUGCAUACUUAAUAUACAUAUCACUCUAGAUGGUCUAGUAUGAUCAUAUACUUUGUCUAUAUAUAUUUCGUCC